CACGUAGGGCGCAAGCGUUGUCCGGAAUUAUUGGGCGUAAAGAGCUCGUAGGCGGUCUGUUACGUCUGCUGUGAAAACCCUGGGCUUAACCCUGGGCUUGCAGUGGAUACGGGCAGACUAGAGGCAGGUAGGGGAGAAUGGAAUUCCCGGUGUAGCGGUGAAAUGCGCAGAUAUCGGGAGGAACACCGGUGGCGAAGGCGGUUCUCUGGGCCUGACCUGACGCUGAGGAGCGAAAGCCAGGGGAGCAAACGGG
Molecule: ribosomal RNA, 253 nt
Filed under: uncultured bacterium
Lineage: Bacteria
Description: partial 16S ribosomal RNA
Rfam family: Bacterial small subunit ribosomal RNA
Source: RNAcentral